This 776-nucleotide long non-coding RNA is filed under the name Anser brachyrhynchus (Pink-footed goose). RNAcentral describes it as "lncRNA (ENSABRG00000016071.1)". Lineage: Eukaryota; Metazoa; Chordata; Aves; Anseriformes; Anatidae. The record is from RNAcentral.
UUGGGGAAACCAAGUUGCAUCAAGUUCAAGGAACAGGUCUCCACUUGCACGGUGUCUGUAGCAGAACCAGGACCAGAAUUUUUGAUCUUUGACUGUUGCUCUAGAUGCUCAACUACUUUGUACUCUGUGCUUUGUUUGGGUGGAAGGAGACUUGCCUGAAACCUGGCACGGAUCUCUACUGAUUAGAAGCUGCUACUCUGACAGUUAUUUAAUGUUUCAGAAGCAAGGAGCUGGUGGGAAAAACUCUGCCAUUUGGUACAGAAGAAGGUUUGUUCCUCCAUUAGUUAAGGAUUUUGUGGCACCUGGCUUGGAUUCAGCCAACCGGACAAAGAGGAAACAGACCUCACAUCUUGACCUUUCUCCUGCACCCAGGCAAUGCUUCAGAUGGAGGACGAUGUGGAUGGCACUGGAUUUCGUGGCAGAAGGAAAGAGUGCAGGAGACUACUCCCCAGUUCACUUGAUUUUUACCUGAUGAUUUACAAGGUGAACUGCAAGAGCAAAGCAAAAAUGAAACCUAAUUAAGCACCAGUUGCUGGGCUGAGAUCCUCCUCUGGGAAGGCAAUGUGGCACAGUCAGAAGAGAAGGACAUUAUGUGCCCCGUAUUUGAAAAAUUGUUUCGUGCCUGUAGACUCUUCUCUAGGUCUGUUUGCUUCCCUGACAUGUCAUCAUUCAACAAUAUAAAUAGAUUAUUAUUAUUUUUUUAAUUGCAGUGACUGUGAACUGCAAAUUUGAUUUAUCUUUUUAUUUAUUUAUUUAUUCACUUAGGAAGAGGAAAG